RNAcentral lists this ribosomal RNA (468 nucleotides) under uncultured bacterium. RNAcentral's name for it is "partial 16S ribosomal RNA". It matches the Rfam family "Bacterial small subunit ribosomal RNA", at positions 28 to 507 of the family's 1533-position model. The record is from RNAcentral.
GACGAACGCUGGCGGCGUGCUUAACACAUGCAAGUCGAACGGAAAGGCCCUGCUUUUGUGGGGUGCUCGAGUGGCGAACGGGUGAGUAACACGAGAGUAACCUGCCCUUGACUUUGGGAUAACUUCAGGAAACUGGGGCUUAUACCGGAUAGGAGCUCCUGCUGCAUGGUGGGGGUUGGAAAGUUUCGGCGGUUGGGGAUGGACUGGCGGCUUAUCAGCUUGUUGGUGGGGUAGUGGCUUACCAAGGCUUUGACGGGUAGCCGGCCUGAGCGGGUGACCGGCAAGAUUGGGACUGAGAUGCGGGCCAGACGCCUACGGGAGGCAGCAGUGGGGAAUAGUGCACAAUGGGGGGAAGCCGGAUGCAGCAACGCCGUGUGCGGGAUGACGGCCUUCGGGUUGUAAACCGCUUUCGCCUGUGACGAAGCGUGAGUGACGGUAAUGGGUAAAGAAGCACCGGCUAACUACGUG